RNAcentral lists this ribosomal RNA (261 nucleotides) under uncultured archaeon. RNAcentral's name for it is "partial 16S ribosomal RNA". It matches the Rfam family "Archaeal small subunit ribosomal RNA", at positions 748 to 1009 of the family's 1478-position model. The record is from RNAcentral.
AGGGUGUAAACGCUGCAGACUUGGUGUUGGGAACCCUUCGGGGGUGCUCAGUGCCGGAGAGAAGUUGUUAAGUCUGCUACUUGGGGAGUACGUCCGCAAGGAUGAAACUUAAAGGAAUUGGCGGGGGAGCACCGCAACGGGAGGAGCGUGCGGUUUAAUUGGAUUCAACACCGUAAAACUCACCAGGGAAGACUGUUACAUGAAGGCCGAGAUGAAGACUCUGCUAGAUUUUCAGAGAGGUGGUGCAUGGCGUAGACGUCU